GUUGUUUUUUUGAUUAGCUGUGUUUUGCUUUCCUCCACCCAAAACUCAGAGUUCAUCUUGGAAAAAGAAAUGCUAUACGCUGCCAGAAAGAAUAUUUUUGGAGCUUCCAGCCCCAACUUGCUGAUGCCCCUUCAGCCUGGGUCCCAGGAACAGACCAGAACACAGCCUACAGCAAGCAACGAAGCCAACUGGAUCCACAGCUUGAAAAGACUCUCUGAGCUGAACUGAAGCUAGAUCUUCUGAGCCACAGGUAACCUCAGAACCAUGCUUUAGAGUAUACAUACCAAGUUUUGUGCGAUGCUGAGUUUUAGUGUGGUUGGCAAUAGAGCAUUUUUGUGGUAAUUGUUGACAAAGAUACUUCUUAUGUACUACGCAUUGUGCUGGAC
Molecule: long non-coding RNA, 386 nt
Filed under: Equus caballus (horse)
Lineage: Eukaryota; Metazoa; Chordata; Mammalia; Perissodactyla; Equidae
Description: lncRNA (ENSECAG00000052520.1)
Source: RNAcentral